Molecule: ribosomal RNA, 502 nt
Filed under: uncultured bacterium
Lineage: Bacteria
Description: bacterial SSU rRNA
Rfam family: Bacterial small subunit ribosomal RNA
Source: RNAcentral
AGUGAACGCUGGCGGCAGGCCUAAUACAUGCAAGUCGAACGGCAGCACAGCAGAGCUUGCUCUGUGGGUGGCGAGUGGCGGACGGGUGAGGAAUACGUGGGAAUCUGCCCAGUCGUGGGGAUAACGUAGGGAAACUUACGCUAAUACCGCAUGCGCCCUUCGGGGAAAGCCGGGGACCUUCGGGCCUGGCGCGAUUGGAUGAGCCCACGUCGGAUUAGCUAGUUGGCGGGGUAAAGGCCCACCAAGGCGACGAUCCGUAGCUGGUCUGAGAGGAUGAUCAGCCACACUGGAACUGAGACACGGUCCAGACUCCUACGGGAGGCAGCAGUAGGGAAUAUUGGACAAUGGGCGCAAGCCUGAUCCAGCCAUGCCGCGUGAGUGAAGAAGGCCCUCGGGUUGUAAAGCUCUUUUGUCCGGAAAGAAAAGCGCCGGGUUAAUACCCUGGUGUCCUGACGGUACCGGAAGAAUAAGCACCGGCUAACUUCGUGCCAGCAGCCGCGGU